UAUAAACAGGGACAAGCGUGUCAAUGGAGAGCAUUCAUAAGAUAUGAAUAAGAAUUCUUUGAGCCAUGCUCAUUUCUCAUGCUCUCGCAGUCAGCUCCAUCAUCUGAGGAACAAUUCAAUUUUGGAUUUGUAUUCACCGAAUUGCUGGGUAACCCAGCGCGGGCACGGUGCUGAAUGAAGCUAUUGACUCAUAGACACUUGAAUGCCUCGACGCGCUACUGUAUCGAGCUAAUUCCACAGACGAUACUUGUUCAUAAGAUUCUUUAUGUGUGCUAGGAUGACGGUUUCAGGGCCUCCCCGUUCACCGCGAGUGUUUUUUUUCUUUCUGUGCUGCUUGUUCCUUGCGGCUCAUCUCCGAGAGCACAACCUGUGCCGGCUUCAAUAAACAGCCAGCGCACACAUCAACACCUCUAAGUCAGAGCAACAGUUUGAUCUAGAGGCGCUCCUGGGGUGAACCCAGAGGGUGAGCUCACCUGUGCUCUACGUGACGAACGAGUGGAGCACUCACGCUGGGAACCCGGCUGCAGUUAAACACAACGACCCGAUCCUUCCUCCAAACGGCUGAAGAAUCGCCAAUGGAAGAUGGGGAAACAGGCCAAACGCCGAAAGCUGAAUUGCUGUUGUGUUCACCGGAGAGAAUGACGCCAGCUUUCAGAGAAACGGGACGUGCGGCACGCGCUGUGGUGGCGACGUGUCAAAUCGCCCAGGCCGAUGCGGCACAGCUCCAAUCAGCCAGAAUGAACUCAUGAAUUCAUUUAAAACGUGGCAGCACGAGUCUCGCGCGCAAAUACUGGUAUUAAAGUUGCCGCAGCAGCCACCUUCCCACUUGAAGAGGCAGCAGGAGAAAACCAUUUGGAAAACUUGGACUUUGAUACCCAGACACCAUGUUAUAAAAUGUAAACUACACAAGGCACUCUGGCCUCUACCAGCCUUGCUCACCAGUGAUCAAAGGGACAUUGGAUGGGAUGGAUACAACAGCUAAAUCCAGCUUUUCCUGCUCAAAUAUCUUGUAAAGGAACUGCGUUCGGCCCCCAACUUCUUUUUGUUACUUGCUUUGGGUGGGAAAGAAAUCCUGUGAGUAAUCUUAAAAUACAUUACCAGGUCUUUGGCGCAUGUUGAAGAGUUUUCCACACCAUGUUUAUACUGUAUAUGGCAAUUCAUGAACAACACAUUUUUCUUGUGGGAAACUAUACAAGGUUAUUGCUGUCAGUCAUCCUUUUAGUCGCCGCCAGUUUCCUCGCAACACAAAGAGGCAGCAGCCGCCCCCGUGGCUCACGCGCCGCCGUGUUUGAAGCCUAAUGCGUCGGUGUUGACAUUUGCACAAUGACAAUGUAAACAUGUUCACCACCUUAGUUUAGCACACUUACAUUUGCUAAUGAAUUACCAAACACAGAAUACAGCUGAGGGUCAAAUUAAUGGAAUUUGAUUUGUAAACCACAUGUGUUGCCGUAACUAUGACGGCAAAUAAAAAGUCACUUACUAAAAUUCAGCCUGAGAGUAAUCUGAAUAAACAGAUUCUGAAUCCAUAUAUAAUCUGUCGGGACAACAAUCUGGCAUCAAACGUGUCCUGAAUUCUGUUUGUAUUUUGUGCAGUUGUUACUAAUCGAUUCAUGAGGAUUUGGCGUUUAAUUGGUUUGAAACAUUGAGCAAUCCGGUCGUACAUGUUGUCUCUCAUUUCCAACUUCAGCCUUACAUCUCAAGUUGCUAAUUGCACUGUAAACAACGAGCCGUCGGGGGAGAAGGAAGCCCGGGCGUGGAUCCCCGCCGGUUAAAGCGCAACCACAGAAAAGCAGGCUUUUCAUCGUCAGACAAAGAGAGGAUGGGUUCUGAGAUUGUCCUGAAGGGGACACGGAUGUCUCAAUGUGUGUCUAAUUGUCUCGAAAUCACGCCAGACAUUUGAAUCCACAAAUGUCAA
Molecule: long non-coding RNA, 1915 nt
Organism: Gasterosteus aculeatus aculeatus (three-spined stickleback)
Lineage: Eukaryota; Metazoa; Chordata; Actinopteri; Perciformes; Gasterosteidae
Source: Ensembl